GUGUCAGCCGCCGCGGUAAUACGGAGGGGGCUAGCGUUAUUCGGAAUCAUUGGGCGUAAAGGGCGCGUAGGCGGCGCGGUAAGUCAAAGGUGAAAUCCCUCGGCUCAACUGAGGAACUGCCUUUGAAACUGCCGUGCUUGAGUCCGGGAGGGGGUAGCGGAAUUCCCAGUGUAGCGGUGAAAUGCGUAGAUAUUGGGAGGAACACCAGUGGCGAAGGCGGCUACCUGGACCGGUACUGACGCUGAUGCGCGAAAGCGUGGGGAGCAAACAGGAUUAGAAACCCUCGUAGUCC
This 292-nucleotide ribosomal RNA is filed under the name uncultured bacterium. RNAcentral describes it as "partial 16S ribosomal RNA". It matches the Rfam family "Bacterial small subunit ribosomal RNA", at positions 505 to 796 of the family's 1533-position model. The record is from RNAcentral.